UUCGCGGUCACGACAUGGUAAAGGUGUAAGAAAAUCAAGUUUUGGGCCAAAGAUAUUUAUUAAACUGGCCCAAAACGUGGUUUUCUUACACCUUUACAACGCGAGAUUCUUUUUUUUUUUUUUAAAAAACUUUUACAAUGCGACGCAACAUGUUUUUGCACCAUGCAUCUAGCUUCAGAUUCACCUAAUAUCUGACUAGGGAGCCAAAUUUAUUGCAUUAGUAAGGUAAUGGAGAUUUAAUUAAGACUCCAUUUACUUAUUUCGUGACGCACUUCUAGUAUGCAGGAUGGCUUUAGGAAUGCAAGUCACCACUUCGUUUUGUAAAACUUUUCCUGAAAUGUAACACUAGACAACCGACAUGUUUCCGAUUGUAGUUCAGGUUACCAGGGAUUAACGAAUCAUGUAGUGGUGAGCUAAACGAGAAAUCAAUAUCGUAGUACUUAAUAUUUCUAUGAAAUGCAUGAGUAUCUUCUUAGGAACCAAGCAUCAAUGUCUGGCCCAAGCUGACAUAAUCAUGUGUAGUGGUAAAGUUGCUAAACUAAAUGGGGAAUCACUCCACUUUAUUUACAUUUUGGUGGUUUUAGUGGAUGUGGAGAAAGCUUCAAAAAGGUUUCAUCACCACUUUGUACGGAUCAAACAACCAUUUAUACCUAGCUACAUGAUGCCUUUUAGGCUAUAUCAUAUAUUGAUACCAAUUAUAGGAACUAAUAAACUUCAAUUGGACUCCCAUCACAUCUUUCAAGAUCUUCUCCCUAAUGAUUCUUAUAUCUCUGUGGAUUAUGAUUCUUCCACUUGCUUUUAUUCAAUCAAGAUAUGGACUGCAUUUUAUUCAUUUUUGUGUGACGAAUAUUUCAGGUUAAACAUAUGGCAUAUACCUCUAAACAUAUUGCAUUGCAAUUUUUUUUUCAAAUUAUUUGCUACUAAGCAACUUGCUUGUAGCAUCUAACCCUUUUAGUUAGUGGGAUGACUAUUGUCCAUUCAUUUUGAUCAAAUUCAGGUACUUCUUUGUCGCUACUCGGACAGAGAACUUGAAUAAUUUCUCUUUUCUAUUCAGAUAUUUAAUUUUUGUGCAUGUUUGAGUGUGUUGAUGUGGAAUAAAGAUGCUUACAUUUAUGGUUUUGACAUUUUAAUGGUCCUUGCUUUGCAUUUAGUAAUUUAUGACCUAGUGGAUUCUUGAAAUGCCUUUAUUAUAAUAUGCCAAUGGUGAAUAUCAUGUGUAUAUGUACAUAUACAAAUAUCAUAUAUAUGUUGACAUUUACUGCCUUAUGUAUGUAUAGAUGUUUUAAUGACCAUGGCUUGAUUUUCUUAUUAGCUGACCACGUAUUUAGCCUUCUGCCAUUGGGCUUGUUCGCUAGGCUUUCUUGUUGAUAUACAUCUUUUCAGUGUCGGCCCAAAGAUUUGAAAGGCUCGGGGCGAAACAUUAAUUAUGAGCCCUUAUUAAUAUAUAUAUAUAUAUAUAUAUAAAUAUAUUAAUGUUUUUUUGGAUGGGCCCGGGCACAAGCCCUUCUUGCCCUCUUAUCGGGUUGACCAACAUCUUUUGAGCUAGGCAUAAGAUGGAAGAAACAUUUUCCUUAUUCCAAGUCUUCAUAGAGACAAUUUGACAGGAAUUGGAAGUGGUCAUGGUUAAUGAUAAAAAGCUACCCUUAGAAAAACCACUCUUUUUUACCUGACUAUGGUGUAAAUUUUAGGACUAGAAAAGUUAAAUGUGUGUUGAUGCUGGAUUGAAAAAUGAUUUUUUUUUUUGUUAUUUUGUUGAGUUUACAAAUUUGCGGAGGAAUAAAUCUUUGAUCAAUUGACAUUUGUUUUCCAGGAAGGAAAAGAAUCAGCUGGUUGAACUUGUUCUGAUAUAGCAUUGGAAGAAAGGGGAUCUAGAAAUGUGAAAAUGAUAUCCACUCAAAAUGGUCUCCAAGAGGUCGACUAGCAAGGACAGGGCUGAGAAUUGAAGGGUGCGUGAUAAUAGAGUUUACGGGCGAUGCGACUGUGUAUUCCAAUACUCUGCAAUAUCGUACGACAUUUGACAAACACUGAUAUGCGGGUAAAUCUCCUCUCGAGUCAAAGGUUUCAUUGGGUGCAAUCUUCUUAUCUCCUUUGGCAGGAUUAUUGUAUGCCGUCUUCCAACCCUCCACAAGCUUUAAUCUUAACUUCUUUGAGCGGGAUCUUCAGAGCGUGAUGAUGAUGGUGGUAAAUCUUUUCAUAUGUAGUUUUAUGAGUCUUAUUCAUAACUUCAUAGUAUGGCUUAUGAGUUUUUUCUUAGCAGUUGCAACAAAAAUCUUGGGUAUCUCAUUUGUUCUUAUAUAUUGGUAUCGAAGUACUUCUUCUUCAGUUAUUGGGCAUCUUGUUUGUCCUUUGAAUUUUGUUGAAUAAGUCGGUCAAAUAAUUCCAAGUGACCUUACACAUCUCUAUACCACUAUUGGUAUAAUUGCUAUACCAUUAACCUCUCUACUUUUUUCAGGUUCAUUCAAAGCCGCUUUAACUUCUAGCUUCUUAAUUCUUUGCACAAAUUAUGUUUUUCUUAGGAAGUAAUGAAUAUCUCCUAAAAAAUCCUUACUCUUUUUAAAAUAACUCGUCAACGUACCCUCUAAUCAAGGGGUUCAAUCUCGUAUGAAGGGAGUAGUAAUUUGGUAAAAUUAAUUCAUAAUUAUCAACUAUUUACCAACAAAGAAAAGCUAGAGUUAACGUAAAAAACAAACAUUAACUUUUGUAAUUUUGACUGGAACGAUACGGACCAAACAUACUUUUGGCUUAUUUAUGUGGUUUGCCGUUUGGAUAAGGUCAUCAAAUAGUUAUGUAACUUGGAUGACUUUAAUUUUGUAUUUUCUUUUCUCUCGAAUAGAGAAAAGCAGUUGUUGGUGCAAGUUCUACUGGAACGGGUGGGGGACCCGAUAAAAUGACACCAUUUUUAAACGAGUUAACCAAAAUUGACUGCCCCUUAUAUCGAGUGGAGCGCCGAAUAUGAUUUUGAGAAGGAUGGUCAUGGAUCUGCUUCCAUUUUUAGGGUCUGAACAUAUAAUAUUUUGACUCUGAUCUGAGUUUGAUUUUGAAUCUAAAAAAAAUAAAUGGAUUUAAGUUUAGGGUUUUCAGAUUCAAAUAUAGACUCAAACCUAACUUAGACCCUCUAUCUAAAUUCAUUUAAAAUUCAAACUCGAUAGUCCCAUCUUAGGCCUGUGUACCGCCAUACCCACACUAGACUUGAUCUACUAUACAAUUUAAAAUUAAUUUUAAGUUUAUAUUUGUUUGAACUCAAUUUAGAUUAAUAUACAACUUAUAGAUUCAUUUUAAUAUUUUUUUGAGCUCAUAUUUGUUUGAACUCAAUUUAGAUUAAUAUAUAACUUAUAGACUCAUUUUAAUACUAAUAAAAUCUUUAAAAUGUAAAAAAGCAUUAUUAUUAGUAAUUAAAUCAAAACUCAUUUAAGAUUUGUUUAGUGCUCUAAACCCAUCUGACCCGAAGAGUUUUGGUUUAGGUCUAAAAUUUUUGGAUCGUAAGGAUCCAAGUCUAGGUAUGGGUCCACUAAACAUUCAUGGAUAUAGGUUUUGAAUUCAAAUGGGCUCGACCUAGAUCCUGUCCAUCAUCAUUCAUAAUUAUGAGGAAUCAAUUAUGUUCUCACUUCGCACGGUGAAAAUUAUAAGUAAUAGUUUGUUGAUAAUUUCAAUGAUCUCGGACCGGGUUAAUAGACAAGAAAACUUGUCGAGCGCUCGACACACAUUUUGACGGACCAUAUAUAGUAACAGUCGCACCAUGGUGGGCCAUAUACAACAGCAGUCGUACAAUGUCGUGUUUAGUUGCACGCCAUAAGCUUAUUAUGAUUUAUGACUAUGUAGCCUGCCUGUCGGCUUGCCUAACCCAUGUCAUCAUUUAUUGAUUACUUUCUCCGUUUCAAAUUAGUUGCAAUAUUGGCAAAAAUGG
This is a long non-coding RNA of Amaranthus tricolor (Joseph's coat), 3904 nucleotides long. RefSeq lists it as uncharacterized. The transcript has 3 exons. Lineage: Eukaryota; Viridiplantae; Streptophyta; Magnoliopsida; Caryophyllales; Amaranthaceae. The record is from RefSeq and is a predicted model, not a curated record.